RNAcentral lists this unclassified non-coding RNA (289 nucleotides) under Hevea brasiliensis (rubber tree). Lineage: Eukaryota; Viridiplantae; Streptophyta; Magnoliopsida; Malpighiales; Euphorbiaceae. The record is from RNAcentral.
UAAAAAGCAGUACGAUGCAGGGCUCCUAGAAGUUAUAAAAUAUCCUGAAUGGACGGCAAAUGUAGUUCCAGUAAUGAAGAAAGAUGGUAGGGUGAGAGUCUGUAUUGAGUACAGGGAUCUCAACAAGGCUAGUUUAAAAAGUGAUUUUCCGCUUCCAUAUACAGACGUGCUGGUUGAUAAUGCAGUGGGACUAGGAAGAUAUUCUUGCAUCGAUGGAGCCUCAGGGUAUAAUCAAAUUUUGAUGGACAAUGCAGACAGGAAAGAUACUGCAUUUAUCACUCAAUGGGGG